Molecule: long non-coding RNA, 355 nt
Filed under: Vombatus ursinus (common wombat)
Lineage: Eukaryota; Metazoa; Chordata; Mammalia; Diprotodontia; Vombatidae
Description: lncRNA (ENSVURG00010021315.1)
Source: RNAcentral
GGAAAUUCAGAUCCAGUUUACUGCAAUAUGAUGUUAUAGAUCCUCAAAGGGAUAUAUCUUCAUUUUCAAAAGAAGAAAAUAAAAUGCCAGUACUCAGUCCUGAAAACAGAUACUUAACUUCAAGAGUCACCAAAAGUUCACUUGAUGGCUGUUUUUUCUUUGAAAAUAGCUGGAAGAAAGCAGCUCUUGAAACACUAAAGAUGAAAAAAGAGUACUCCUCAAUAUUUGGUCUGAAAGAUUUCAAGGAAGUGGGUACAAUUCCAUCUCUACCAGAAGUGCAAAGAUACAGAAAAAAUACAGAGGCUCCACUAGACGUGCUUAAAAGACAUCCAUGUACUCCUCUGAAGACACCUAA